This is a long non-coding RNA of Sphaeramia orbicularis (orbiculate cardinalfish), 764 nucleotides long. RefSeq lists it as uncharacterized. The record is from RefSeq and is a predicted model, not a curated record. The transcript is spliced from 3 exons. NCBI's taxonomy places the organism in Eukaryota, Metazoa, Chordata, Actinopteri, Kurtiformes, Apogonidae.
UCCAGCCUUGUGAGGAGAGAGAGUGCGAGUGUCGUAUGGUGUCUGGACAGCAUCCUUGGGACUGGCGGCUCUGCACGGCAGGUCCAGACAGACCUAGUGAGGGGAUUUGGUCACGCAGGAGUGGGAAACUGGGACACACUGGGAUCUGUGGCCGUCCGAGACUCGGUUUUACUGAGUUAGCCGGGGCCGACCCAGCAACGGUUGCUGCUACGUCCCAUUGGUCCAGCUGCAACUGGUGGUGUGCAGAUAUUGGGUGUCAGCUGUUGUGCUGGCAGCUGUCAGUCAGACACCACCUGCUUUUGCGCUGGAUUGGCUUCUAGACUGACUGUGUUGCAGGUCUUUGGACUAUGUGUGUAUGUUUGGGUGUAGCUUAUGUCAACAUGACUCCAUGCGGAUAAUUUUUUAUGCGUUUUUUUAACUUCCAUGGAUUAGGAGAAUCACUGGAGAACCAUCAUGUACAUGUGGAACAGACACCUGGGGUUGAAGCAUAUGGUCAACUACACAUCAGCCCCACAGGAGAUAGGAGGAAUUCCUGCCUUGGUCAAGGACGCUUCAUCGAGUUAGUGAUUAUGUAACACCUGCCUAGUUGACAGAUUGGUCUCUUUAACCUCAAGGACCUCCGUGAGCAUUGAUGCACACUGUUCGUCUCAACUUUAAGACUGGAAGUUAUUCUCCACAGCCUGAAAACUUACAAGGAAUGGAAGAAAAACACACAACUGGAAGAUUUGGCAAAAGACAAGUCAAAGCUACACGAUGAAAUCAGA